Molecule: long non-coding RNA, 950 nt
Organism: Ficedula albicollis (Collared flycatcher)
Lineage: Eukaryota; Metazoa; Chordata; Aves; Passeriformes; Muscicapidae
Source: Ensembl
GUGGGGUUCUGGGGACACCUCAGUGCCCCCUGUGUCCAUAGUGGGGUUCUGGGGACACCUCAGUGCCCCCUGUGUCCAUAGUGGGGUUCUGGGGACACCUCAGUGCCCCCUGUGUCCAUAGUGGGGUUCUGGGGACACCUCAGUGCCCCCUGUGUCCAUAGUGGGGUUCUGGGGACACCUCAGUGCCCCCUGUGUCCAUAGUGGGGUUCUGGGGACACCCCACUGCCCCUCUGUGUCAUUUGUGGGGUGUGGGGUGCAGGGGACACCUCGCUGCCCCUCUGUGUCAGUUGUGGGGUGCAGGGUGUGGGUGUGAGGUCUUGGGAUCACCCCACUGCCCCUCUGUGUCCAUAGUGGGGUCCUGGGGUCACCCCACUUCCCCUCUGUGCCCGUAGGGUGAGCCAGGACAGCGGGGGAUCGGCCAGCCAGGACCGCAGGUGGGUUUUGGGGUGCAUUUGCUGUCCCCUGCUGUCCCCUGCCGGGUGGCUCUGGUGCCUUUCACACACUCUGCUUUUCCCAGGGAGACCCCGGGAGCGCCGGACCCCCCGGACCCCCUGUGAGUAGGUUUGGGAUUUUGGGGUACUCUGAGUGAUGGGGCAGCGAGUGGUGGGGUCACACCUCUCCCAGCCCCCUGUGUGCACUGUGGUGGCUUUGGGGACAGCGUUGUCCCCUCACCGGGAGGAACCAACACCCUGUCCUCCCCCCCAGGGCCCCCCCGGACCGCAGGGACCCCCGGGGAUGGCAGCAGAGAAAGGUGCCAAGGGCUCUCCGGGCCCCAAAGGUGCCACGGGACCCCCUGGACCACCAGGGAGCAGCGUCACCGGGCCACCUGGCCCCCAGGGGCAGCGGGGGCUCCCCGGGUCCAGCGGGCAGCCGGUAGGUGCUGGGGGGUUGUGCCAGGGGCUGUGCCAGCGGGGGGCUGUGCCAGCGGGGGGUGUGCCAGGGUGUGGGGU